Petromyzon marinus (sea lamprey) is the source of this 4877-nucleotide long non-coding RNA. RefSeq lists it as uncharacterized. NCBI's taxonomy places the organism in Eukaryota, Metazoa, Chordata, Hyperoartia, Petromyzontiformes, Petromyzontidae. The record is from RefSeq and is a predicted model, not a curated record.
CGAAAGAAGUUCACUAUUCAUAGUACGUCGCGUGGGAUUCUUCCACGCUGGGUCUGGCUGCAUCUCGGUACGCACGCAGGUAUUUUAUUUUACUUAUUACGGUACAGUUAUUUCCACGUGCCUUGAAUUAGUACCGUGUGUUCAAUCAAGAAAUAUAAUCGUGGAGUCAUUAUGAAUGCACCUGCUUUAACCGUCAUGCGAGAGCGAUGUUUUUUUUGUUCAUGGCGACCCAGGAAAAAGGCAUCGUCGCGCGGGCGAAGUGACUGCGAGCAAUGCGCACGGCCAAGCCACAGCAGUGGACAGAGGGGGGUGGCUUCCAUCACCCAUCAGCACGCCAGCAUCGCUAAUGUUGCAAAAACAAGGACUCCGCGCGCAAUGUCACAAAUGUUAAUUCUCUGUGGUUAGAGAAGCUGCCAAUGCCAUCACCCCCUUCACAUUCCAUCCGACAUUGUUUAAGCACCUCAUUUAUAACCGUUCACAAUAUGUUUGGAUUUCAAUUAGCAGUCGUGUGUUUAUCAUAACUGAAAAUUUCCAUUCAAUUUAUUUUGGCCCAAAUGUGUUUUUGUGUUUGUUUUACGCAAAAUGAAAGGAGGCGCCGUCCGAAGGGUUCGUUUUGGGGUCCGGGUCCCAGAUGUGACGAGGCAUACGCCAAUCCGCCGCCGUUUCAGUAAAGCAAUGCAAGCUAACAAAUUGGCAAAACAACUGCCACUUUGGUCAACGUGGGCCCUGUGCAUCACUCUCGGGCUCCCCCAGAGCGGGGUGGGGGGGGGACUGCCUUCCCUUGCGCCGAGGUCUUGGGCGAAUGUCGACACCGCCCUUGCAAACAUCCCCCUUCACUCGCGCGAGCAAAGGCCGACGAGACCAGCCCAUAACUCACAAGCGCACAGACGACAACACCCCUCGCUGGAUGUAGCGUCACAUUAGCCUCGAUACAUAUUUGCCGUGGUGUCACAACCUGCAGCAGCAGGAGCAAGGGCUGAACGCCCACGCCCCUCCCUCCGUUCCCCAACCACCCCACCCCCUGAGUGCAUUAGCACACAUUAGCCUUGUUUACACGCAGCGGCAGCAGCAGCACGUGUAGAUAGGGGCGGCUGGAGCGCCAGAGGCUACGAGCUCCGAGAGUGAUUGCGAGAGCGGCGCAAAUCAGCAGCAAUCAGGGGCCGCUUCGCCCGGUAAACGCCAUCCCCGCCCCCAGCAGCAGCAGCGCCCAGCAGCAGCAGCAGCGCCCAGCGUGGGGCCAUCUCCUAACCCGACUGCUGUCUCAUGCCCCAUCCCCCCACCCCACCAUGCAGCAUCCCCGGCAGCAGCAGGAGCAGCAGCAUGCUGCUGAUGAUUACCAUCAGGAUUACCAUCAUCAGCAGCGUGUCUAUCAUACACGGCAAUCGGUCACAAGGCAGAGGGAGAUUCCUCAGUUGGGACUACAAAGCAGAAGCAAGAGCAGCAAGAUGGCUGGGUACUGCGACAUCUUGGCAGUGCGGCUUUCCCUUGGCAAACACGCGCAGAGACCCCCCCCCAAGACAGAGCCCGCAGGCAUCGGUCAGCAGGCAUCGUCGCCCCGAGGUGGCUCUCUGGUGCAGUGCUCGGCUGUACGAGUCUCAAACUCUGAUCAGCGGUAGACUCUGCCCAUCAUUCCCCCAGGACGGUCACUGCCUCACUCCUCUUCGCUCUCUGUGGAGCCACAAGGCCGCGCGACAAGCCCACGCCAUGCCGGGCGGUCCUCAGCUGAUUUCUCUGCUUUGCCCCAAGACAGCCCCAUGGUCUUUGGUUGGUCUUGAGGGCGAUUAAGUUGAGUGCCACUUUGUGGGAAGUCCACAGUGAGUUGUAUCGUGAGAAGUUUGCCUGCCGCCGCAGGAAUGUGGAAUUUCCACCACUGGCUUCGGGCUGCCAAUGCUUGUGUGAGCCUGGAGACAGGUUCUCACCUGCACUCUCUCUCUCUCUCUGUGUUUCUGUCGUUGCGGCUGCACUGAUGAUUUGUGUUCAGUGGCGAAUGCGCUCCCUGCUUCACAGCUCUUGCGUGUCUUCUUGUGUUGAUGCCACCUCUGUCGAGUGAGAGGGACUCGGCUUGAUGAGCUCUCACCUGCUCACCAGUAAACGUUACCGGCUCAAGAGUGAACAUUCGUGGUUCGUUUCUUGUCCUUCCCACGUUCCUCCGAUUAGCACGGUUGGCUUCGUACCUUGCGAAAUAGAUUCAACAUACAUGCAUACGAAAAUGCACUUUUUUGUAUGGAUUCAAUGGUAGGCAUCAUAUAUCCCUGUACAUCUCAUGUCAGGUCAACUGUGUACUCACAGAACCUAGAUUGCCAAGGCUGGCAGUACAACGGGGAGAGAGACAUGCAAACUACAAACAUGCAGGCGUCAGGAUCGGGAUCGAACUCACGACCUCCUGCGUACCAGGCGAGGGGGUCAACAAUUCACAACCGCAGCUAAGCAGACGAGCAUCGGGCUAGCCUGGGUCGGAGGGUCUCUGGUUCGGGGUCACAAGCACGUGCUCAGCUGCCGUGUACCCCCCAAAACAUUAACGCGUCUACGUCUUCUCCCCCCCCCCCUUAGUUUCUUCGCAAUCAUUAACUCGACAAUGAGCUCCCAUGCUGCAAUGACUCCGCUAAUGAAAGGGCACACCAACAAGGGCAGCCUGCAGGUUGCAGGCGUGCGCGUCCGUGCUGUUAUUAAGCGCGCGGGUCGCCUCGCCGUGACGCGGCUAAUGAAGGAGUCUCUCCGUGGCAGGACACUGGGAGACAGCGGCCAUCCUCAGCGGGAGGCUGUCACGCAUUGACAAAGCCCAGAUGUGUGGGAAGAGGAGGCGGAGGCUACGGGGGGUGGGCUGUACCCCCCACCGGGAGCUCUCGAGAGCAGCGCGCUUGCAGUAAUUAAUGAGGUGCAAGUGCCAAGGGAGGGCGGAAUUCCCCGAGGCCGGUGCCCGCGUGCACCAAGCGGCUCGGAGCGGGCGAGCAUCUUCUCGUGUACAAGGCGUGCGGUGAACACGCGCUGGACCUGUCGCACUGCAAGUGACCUUUGUGCACUCAGGAUCAACCUAACUUGACAGCAUUGCCCUCCAGGCUAUCCAGUUACUCUGAGCGUUGAUGGCUAUUUGGUAUGGCCAUGGAGAAAUCCAAUACAAUCAGAUGGAGCCGGGGCGGGUUCUCCGUGCGUGAUGCUCGUGGGUAGAUGUCACGCGUGAGACGUUUUGGGGUAAAAGGGCCGCUUGAGCGACUGCGAUGUUCCCUUGGUGCUCACGGAGUUUUAAAUCGCCUGGCUGGGCAUGAAUGAGAUUCGAAGGUUUUGUGUUUAGUUUAAAUUUCUUAUUUUUAAUAGUAUAUACUGUAUGUUGAAUGAGAUUUGAAGGUUUUGUGUUUCGUUAAGAUUUCUUAUUUUUAAUAGUAUAUACUGUAUGUUGUUUGUCUCUUAAUUGUGAUUCUUAAAUAUAUGAUUGCCAUUUGUAAUGUCCGGUGAGUAACACUUAGUCUGUGCUAACCAGUUGUCCUGGGUGAAAAGUGGGCACGGUUUUGCCCAAUCCUCGCCGGCAGGCACGAAACGGUAAUAAAUUACUGAAUGAGUGAUUCGUGUUGACACAGUUCAUUUAUUUUGACUGGUGAAAGCCCAUUGAGGUCUUCUGGUGCUUAGCUGGCUCUGUGUUCGCUGGGUGCCUCACCUGGCUGGUGGUGCACUGGUCGAGUGCACGCGUCACACAUGGACGGUCGCGAGUCAUAAUUCUGGUCGGCAGUCCACGCAGUCCUUUACAUCCCACUUUGGAGUUCGGAAAAUAAGAACCACUUUGUAGCAAGCAAACAGUGAUCGUCCCAUAGAUUAUCUCACCCCAGCCAUAGCAAUGUGGAAUUGCCACCACUGGCUCAGAGCUGGAACAAAAGAAAAACACGGCACUGUGCUCGAUUGAGCGAGAAAGCGAUUAGACUUUGUCUUUACGCUUUAUUUGAAAGGAGUAAAACAUUGGCACACAAUGGCUCACCCUUGCUAAUGAGGAUGUAACAGUCGAGCGUUCUCACCACUGCAGAUGACGCAACUAUCGUGGCUGUGGCAAUCUCACUGCCGACUCCACGCUCACCAGCAAAGGAGCAGUUGCGCUACAGGCGCAUUGCGCAGUAUGUGACAAGACGGCCACGUAUUCAACUCUCUUGAGUUUAAUGGUCAAUGCAACGAUUACGGGCCACGCAUUCAGCUCUUUGGAGUUUGUGGUCUGGACAAGGCCGAGAGCAUUGUACGUGCAGUGUGGUGGUCACGUGACACGCAUGUAAGGCACGAUGGGAGCCGUGGCCUCCUGCUGCCAGUGAACAGCACACGUUAGCGUGUCUCUGCGGUAUGUCACGUCGUGUUGUGAGUGCUUUGUCACCAGCGUAAUGUGCCUCGAUGAAUCCAUGCUGAGGUGUCGGUCAGGCAUGCCGGGCGUGCAUUUAUAAGACUUAGAAACAAUGGGGCACCUCACUACUAUUUUGUGGACGUUGCAAUGGCCCACUAAACCACCCAGCUACCUCAGUUACAACAUUCCUAGAAUAGCCACACGCAACGCCAUUGUAGAAGCGUGCUCCGUGGCGAUUUACGGUGGGAAAGCAGUGCCAUCGGCAGGGAAGUCUACGAGGAAACGUGUUGAAAACUAUCAGCACUGUGCCUUCGAGCAGCUUACAUCGGGGGCGGAAAGGGGCGAUUGCCUCGGAGGCUUUGUGCUUGGCAGGAAAUGAAUGCGUAAGGAAAUUAAUUAGUAAGGAAAUUAAUUAGUAAGGCUGAGCUACCGCGGAUCCAGACUGGGGCAUUAGCCGCAUGCACAGUGAGCUUUGGAGUCGGUAUCAGUCGUAGCAGCUACAACUAUUCUUAAACAUUUUUUUUAUUUAACCGGGUAAGGCCCACUUAGCAAUGUAGCUCUUUUU